Molecule: ribosomal RNA, 783 nt
Filed under: uncultured marine bacterium
Lineage: Bacteria
Description: bacterial SSU rRNA
Rfam family: Bacterial small subunit ribosomal RNA
Source: RNAcentral
UGAUCCUGGCUCAGAUUGAACGCUGGCGGCAGGCCUAACACAUGCAAGUCGAACGGUAACAUUUAUAGCUUGCUAUAAGAUGACGAGUGGCGGACGGGUGAGUAAUGCUUAGGAACUUGCCUUUUGGUGGGGGAUAACAGUUGGAAACGACUGCUAAUACCGCAUAAUGUCUUUGGACCAAAGGGGGCUUCGGCUCUCACCAAGAGAGAGGCCUAAGUGAGAUUAGUUAGUUGGUGGGGUAAAGGCUUACCAAGACGACGAUCUCUAGCUGUUCUGAGAGGAAGAUCAGCCACACUGGGACUGAGACACGGCCCAGACUCCUACGGGAGGCAGCAGUGGGGAAUAUUGCACAAUGGGGGGAACCCUGAUGCAGCCAUGCCGCGUGUGUGAAGAAGGCCUUCGGGUUGUAAAGCACUUUCAGUUGUGAGGAAAGGUUGGUAGUUAAUACCUGCCAGCUGUGACGUUAACAACAGAAGAAGCACCGGCUAACUCCGUGCCAGCAGCCGCGGUAAUACGGAGGGUGCGAGCGUUAAUCGGAACUACUGGGCGUAAAGCGCACGCAGGCGGUUUGUUAAGCGAGAUGUGAAAGCCCCGGGCUCAACCUGGGAGGGUCAUUUCGAACUGGCAGACUAGAGUUUUGGAGAGGGGAGUGGAAUUCCAGGUGUAGCGGUGAAAUGCGUAGAUAUCUGGAGGAACAUCAGUGGCGAAGGCGACUCCCUGGUCAAAGACUGACGCUCAUGUGCGAAAGUGUGGGUAGCGAACAGGAUUAGAUACCCUGGUAGU